UACGAGGGGGGCAAAUGUUGUUCGGAAUCACUGGGCGUAAAGGGAGCGUAGGCGGGCUUCUAAGUUAGAUGUUUAAUCCCGGGGCCCAACCCCGGACAGGCACCUAAAACUGGAAGUCUUGAAUAGUGGAGAGGACGGCGGAAUUGGGGGUGUAGCGGUGGAAUGCGUAGAGAUCCCCAAGAACACCAGUUGCGAAGCCGGCCGUCUGGACACAUAUUGACGCUGAGGCUCGAAAGCAUGGGGAGCAAACAGG
RNAcentral lists this ribosomal RNA (253 nucleotides) under uncultured bacterium. RNAcentral describes it as "partial 16S ribosomal RNA". It matches the Rfam family "Bacterial small subunit ribosomal RNA", at positions 524 to 776 of the family's 1533-position model. The record is from RNAcentral.